This 259-nucleotide ribosomal RNA is filed under the name uncultured Pseudomonas sp. RNAcentral describes it as "partial 16S ribosomal RNA". It matches the Rfam family "Bacterial small subunit ribosomal RNA", at positions 355 to 606 of the family's 1533-position model. The record is from RNAcentral. Lineage: Bacteria; Pseudomonadati; Pseudomonadota; Gammaproteobacteria; Pseudomonadales; Pseudomonadaceae.
UGGGGAAUAUUGGACAAUGGGCGAAAGCCUGAUCCAGCCAUGCCGCGUGUGUGAAGAAGGUCUUCGGAUUGUAAAGCACUUUAAGUUGGGAGGAAGGGCAGUAAAUUAAUACUUUGCUGUUUUGACGUUACCGACAGAAUAAGCACCGGCUAACUCUGUGCCAGCAGCCGCGGUAAUACAGAGGGUGCAAGCGUUAAUCGGAAUUACUGGGCGUAAAGCGCGCGUAGGUGGUUUGUUAAGUUGGAUGUGAAAGCCCGGC